GACGAACGCUGGCGGCGUGCUUAACACAUGCAAGUCGAACGGAAAGGCCCUGCUUUUGUGGGGUGCUCGAGUGGCGAACGGGUGAGUAACACGUGAGUAACCUGCCCUUGACUUUGGGAUAACUUCAGGAAACUGGGGCUAAUACCGGAUAGGAGCUCCUGCUGCAUGGUGGGGGUUGGAAAGUUUCGGCGGUUGUGGAUGGACUCGCGGCUUAUCAGCUUGAUGGUGGGGUAGUGGUUGACCAAGGCUUUGACGGGUAGCCUGCAUGAGAGCGGGAACGGGCACAUUGGGACUGAGAUACGGCCCAGACUCGUACGGGACGCAGCGGUGGGGAAUAUGGCACAAUGGGCGGAAGCCUGAUGCAGCAGCGCCGCGUGCGGGAUGACGGCCUUCGGGUUGUAAACCGCUGUCGACUGUGACGAAGCGUGAGUGACGGUAACGGGUAAAGAAGCACCGGCUAACUACGUG
This 468-nucleotide ribosomal RNA is filed under the name uncultured bacterium. RNAcentral's name for it is "partial 16S ribosomal RNA". It matches the Rfam family "Bacterial small subunit ribosomal RNA", at positions 28 to 507 of the family's 1533-position model. The record is from RNAcentral.